UGCGCAGGCGGUUGUGUAAGACAGGUGUGAAAUCCCCGGGCUUAACCUGGGAACUGCACUUGUGACUGCACGGCUGGAGUGCGCCAGAGGGGGUGGAAUUCCACGUGUAGCAGUGAAAUGCGUAGAUAUGUGGAGGAACACCGAUGGCGAAGGCAGCCCCCUGGGGUGACACUGACGCUCAUGCACGAAAGCGUGGGUAGCGAACA
This 206-nucleotide ribosomal RNA is filed under the name uncultured bacterium. Its description in RNAcentral is "partial 16S ribosomal RNA". It matches the Rfam family "Bacterial small subunit ribosomal RNA", at positions 568 to 774 of the family's 1533-position model. The record is from RNAcentral.